AACGAAUUAAUUUUAACCCCGACUAUCUGCCCACUGUAUAUAUUAAAUGGCCGCGGUAUCUUGACCGUGCAAAGGUAGCAUAAUCAUUAGUCUUUUAAUUGAAGGCUGGAAUGAAUGGUUUGACGAAGUAUAAGCUGUCUCUAUAUAAUAAAUGGAAUUUGUCUUUUUAGUUAAAAGACUUAAAUAAAAAUAAGGGACGAGAAGACCCUAUAGAGCUUUAUAUAAUUAUACAAUAUGAAAUUUUUUAGAUGUUUUAUUAGUUUAUUGUGUAUUUAUAUUGUGUUGGGGUGACAUAAAGAUAAAAUUAACUCUUUAUAUUUAUUAACAUAGAUUUAUGAAUACUUGAUCCAGUAUUACUGAUUGAAAGAUAAAGUUACCUUAGGGAUAACAGCGUAAUCCUUCUUGAGAGUUCAUAUCGAAAGAGGGGGUUGCGACCUCGAUGUUGGACUAAGAAAAUGAUUAAAUGCAGCAGUUUAAUUAAUAGGUCUGUUCGACCUUUAAAUUCUUACGUGAUCUGAUUCCAGACCGG
RNAcentral lists this ribosomal RNA (529 nucleotides) under Ruspolia nitidula. Its description in RNAcentral is "partial 16S large subunit ribosomal RNA". It matches the Rfam family "Bacterial large subunit ribosomal RNA", at positions 1834 to 2619 of the family's 2925-position model. Lineage: Eukaryota; Metazoa; Arthropoda; Insecta; Orthoptera; Tettigoniidae. The record is from RNAcentral.